RNAcentral lists this ribosomal RNA (440 nucleotides) under uncultured bacterium. RNAcentral's name for it is "partial 16S ribosomal RNA". It matches the Rfam family "Bacterial small subunit ribosomal RNA", at positions 338 to 795 of the family's 1533-position model. The record is from RNAcentral.
CCUACGGGAGGCAGCAGUGGGGAAUAUUGCACAAUGGGGGAAACCCUGAUGCAGCAACGCCGCGUGAGUGAAGAAGUAUUUCGGUAUGUAAAGCUCUAUCAGAAGGGAGGAAGAUGACGGUACCUGAGGAAUAAGCCCCGGCUAACUACGUGCCAGCAGCCGCGGUAAUACGUAGGGUGCAAGCGUUAUCCGGAUUUACUGGGUGUAAAGGGAGCGUAGACGGGGAGACAAGUCUGAAGUGAAAGGCCGGGGCUCAACCCCGAGACUGCUUUGGAAACUGCCUGACUGGAGUGCUGGAGAGGCAAGCGGAAUUCCUAGGGUAGCGGUGAAAUGCGUAGAUAUUAGGAGGAACACCAGUGGCGAAGGCGGCUUACUGGACUGUAACUGACGUUGAGGCUCGAAAGCGUGGGGAGCAAACAGGAUUAGAUACCCUUGUAGUC